GCCGUAGAGAACUACCAUUUAUGCGAUAACUCCACUUAUUUAAGUCGCGUCUUAUGUAAGUCGCGACUUAUUUUGUCUCGUAUAAAUGGCCCUAAUGAGUCUGAAGAUAAUGCUUGUGCUUUUUAAACAGUCGAGUUAAAAUACUGUAUAUUAUUAUUAUUCAUGUUUAAGAAUAUUCACCAUCGCAUAAAUUUGAAUUGCGGUUUAUUUACAAC
Molecule: non-coding RNA, 215 nt
Organism: Paramuricea clavata
Lineage: Eukaryota; Metazoa; Cnidaria; Anthozoa; Malacalcyonacea; Plexauridae
Source: the annotation of a GenBank genome assembly